RNAcentral lists this ribosomal RNA (449 nucleotides) under uncultured bacterium. RNAcentral describes it as "partial 16S ribosomal RNA". It matches the Rfam family "Bacterial small subunit ribosomal RNA", at positions 29 to 523 of the family's 1533-position model. The record is from RNAcentral.
AACGAACGCUGGCGGCAUGCCUAACACAUGCAAGUCGAACGAAGCCUUCGGGCUUAGUGGCGCACGGGUGCGUAACGCGUGGGAAUCUACCCUUUGGUUCGGAAUAACAGUUGGAAACGACUGCUAAUACCGGAUGAUGACGAAAGUCCAAAGAUUUAUGGCCAGAGGAUGAGCCCGCGUAGGAUUAGCUAGUUGGUGUGGUAAAGGCGCACCAAGGCGACGAUCCUUAGCUGGUCUGAGAGGAUGAUCAGCCACACUGGGACUGAGACACGGCCCAGACUCCUACGGGAGGCAGCAGUGGGGAAUAUUGGACAAUGGGCGAACGCCUGAUCCAGCAAUGCCGCGUGAGUGAUGAAGGCCCUAGGGUUGUAAAGCUCUUUUACCCGGGAUGAUAAUGACAGUACCGGGAGAAUAAGCCCCGGCUAACUCCGUGCCAGCAGCCGCCGUAA